This 3602-nucleotide long non-coding RNA is filed under the name Daucus carota (carrot). RNAcentral's name for it is "long non-coding RNA (DCAR_LNC006548)". Lineage: Eukaryota; Viridiplantae; Streptophyta; Magnoliopsida; Apiales; Apiaceae. The record is from RNAcentral.
AAUACUGGGGGGAGUGGCUCCAUGUCUUCUCACAGAAGCAAUCCUUGACAGCAUAGAAGUACCCAUCUGGUGUCUCAAAUAGAUGGUCGAUGUUUUCAAACACUUGGAUGUCGGCAUCAAGGUAUACCAUCUUCGUAUAUUCAAACUGAAAUUACACAUACAAGGUUUAUUAAGUACCAGUUAACAUAAUCAACUUGUAAGGUGUACAUGAAGAGUUGGUUUAAGAUACAAAGGCGAUACUAUUUGCUUACAUUCCAUAUACGGAGUUUAGAGUAGUUGAUCACAUAAUAAGCCAUCGCAAACUGAACCUGGUUCUCUGGUGGAUAUAUGGGCUCAAUCUCUUGUAUGAUGCAGCCCUGAGAGCUUAAUAACUCACGGUGUUCUUGAGGCACAUCGGGCAACAUUGCCACCACCAGAGGGUACGCACUCUUCGCCUUCCUUAGACCCUUGGCCAGCCCCACCACCCCUUUGACAUAGUCACCAUUGCCUGCUAAAAAUGUCACGUAAGCUCUCUUCUCGUAGCCUAUUUUCUGAGUAGCUAAGUUUCUAGUACAAGCAAAGGUGUCUACAGGUACUCCUGGAGCCAUUAAGUAGCUUUUUAAAGCUUACUAAAUGCUAAAGUUGGCUUAUAUGGAGGAGUGUGGGAAAGUAAACCAACAACUCUAAGGUUGCCGCCGUACUUGCCUUUGUUCCUAGGUCCUACAAUGAACAGUUUAGGGUUUAUAUAGGGCUUAAAUGGAAGUAAAAUGCACACCAAAUGAACUUCAAAUGAGAUUUAAAUAGCAAGUCAAUUAUUAUUUAUUUAUUUCUUAGAUGAAGCAACUUUGUGUUAAGUCCUUUUUGGGCUGGAUGUGGAGGGAAUUGGAAAUGAAUGAACACAAAUUUGUUGUUCAGCCAACCAUUGAUCUAGCCUUAUCGUCUAGAGUAAACGGCCGAGAGUUCAUAUGCUGAUUUUAUAAUCUGAUGAAGAUGGAUAUUGAUAUAUCUUUACUAUACUAUACGAAUUUAUAUUAUAUGGUAUGAAGGGAGAACGGGGGAGAGAGACGAACAAGUGUCACAUCCUUGAAGUAUAAUCACUGACACCUUCACAUUAGCAAAUACAAAAUACUAAAUUUCAGAAAGAAUAAUAAGAUUUUGUUUUUUGAUUGGUUUGUGGAAAAUAAGAUAGAUAUUUUAGGUUAAUUAGCAUUUGACCAUCAAGUUUAUCUUCACCACUAGUUAUAUUCCCGUGGUAUCUUCUAGACUACAAUCGUCUUCCUUCAGACUUUUUUGUGAAGAAAAGUUGUGCAGCUUACACGUAUUAUGAUAUUGCAUACUAUGUAAUUCUGUAUUUUGUCUUUCUACUUUCGAGAUCUUAGACUGGACACACAGCAAGAAAUUGCUUGCAAAUUAGUAAAUUUAUUUUCACAUACAGCGAACAUAUCUUCCAUUUAAGUAUGGUGAGAUGUACCGAACUUAGUCAUACGUUGUAGAGUAAAGAUGAUGUCUUAAUGACUACCUAACAUAGAUUUUAAUGUGUAUGUGCUCCUCUAACAUCUUUGGAGACAUGAUCCUGUCAGUGCAGACUCUUUUCUUUUGUCAAUCAUUCACACCAACCUGUUGAAUGUAUAUUUCUAAUUUACAGGCUAUGGUUUUCAGUGAGAGUACCCAUAUCUCUGUGUACAAUGGUGUGUUAUGUGCAGAGAUAUGGGAAUAACCUGUCCAUAACCCAUACCCCUUUCCCCAGCCUUGGUGUGGACCAAAUGAAAUGGGUGCUGGUGCCUGUCACAAUCUAGAGAGUGACUAGAAUAGAAAAACCAAAGGAGUUAGGGUCCUAUAUUCUAUACAGGUGUAUCUAUGUGCUCCUCUCCUUCUACUAAAUGUAGCAUGGCCUAGAUUUAUUCAACAAAAGUGUAUUGAAAUACAGUACCUGAUUUGUGUGCUAAAAGAAAGGGUGAAGCUCAGCCUCUUCUUCACUAACCACUUGGUUAUAGGAUCCUUGGUUAUACUUACUUCCAACAGCUCUAGAAACAUAACCCCUUGUCUGUAGCAUAGAUUAGUCGACUUGGAAUUUUAUAUGAGCUUUUUAUAGUUAUAUAUUCUAAAUAUAUAAUAUGUAAUAUUCCUAUGGAAAUAUCCCAACAAAGUUGGAACAAGGUUAUAUCGAGGGCAGGUGGUAAGUGUGUACUGUUUGUGAAAGGAGGUUUUAAGUCCAAAAUAUUUGUAUGCUGUUUGGAUUUUGGCGUAUAGCAAAUAUUAUAUGUCAGUAACUUAGAAUGUUAGAUUGAAAAUGUUAUGUUAUUACUUUUGUUGUUCUUAGGCUAAUAAAUAGCGGUGAAAAUGUGCGCUGAUCGCAGAUAGCUGAGAACCACGUAUUUGUAUUAGUGCAUAGCCCCCAAAAAAUAGUAAGCCAGUAAUAUCUGAUUCAGCAGAGCAAGUGUCUGCAGCUAGGAAGCACCGACUCGGAUACGUCGACACGGGACACGGGGAUUCUCCAAUUCUCAAAGAGUCUUGGAUACGGGACACGGCAAAAAAAAUAAUCAUAAAAAAACAUAAUAUUUAUAUAUGUUAAAUAUUGGAUUAUAUUCAUAAUAAUAGAGUUUCUUUCAUGAUGAGACACAUAUCUAUUCUGCAUUUUCAUUUGAAUGAUCAUCUUGUAUAUAUAUAUUCUGUAUAUAUAUAUAAGAAAGUAGGAGAUGUAGUGAUAUGUAUAUAAACGUAUAUCUGAUUGUGUAUAUAUGCGGAUAGAAGAUGAAAAGAGCUGACUGCUGAGCAAUAUUAUAAAAGAGAUGGGUUAGGUUAAAUAAGAUAUGGGCUGGGCUGACUUAAAAAAAACAUAUGGGUUAGGGUUUUUUUAAAGGGCCGUGUCGGCCGCGUGUCGGCCGUGUGUCGGCCGCGUGUCGGCCGUGUGUCGGCCGCGUGUCGGCCGUGUGUCGGCCGCGUGUCAUGUGCUGACACGCCACACGGCGAGUCGGACACGUACUCAGCCGAGUCGCCGUGUCGGCCGUGUCGGACACGGACACGGCGGCCUUUUUGAAGUAUCAGAGUCUUUAUAUCCAGCCAACCAUUCUUUUAGAGUUCAGGUCACUGAAACAUCCUUACAUGCAAAGCAUGUAGACUUUAGUUGAAAUUCAUCACCUUUGGUUGAUAUGAGAAACAUACAUUAUCACAAUUUUUUCCCACUGCAUGAAAAUUACUAGGCAGACAUAAAUGGUAUUACUUAUGUAAAUUUAAUAACUAGAUUAUUGGAAAAAUAUAUUACCACACCUAAACUUGGAGUUUGUGUGCGUGCAUCACUGUAGAAUUCUAUACUGUUACAGACAUGCUCUCUUACAAUUUACAAGCAACACUCCUUAUCAGUCUCUUGGCUACUGUGUUUAUAUGUUUACUACCUAGCAAGGAAAAAAAGACCAUAUAUAUUCUAUAGUAGUGAAGAUUUAACAGACAUCAUGAUAAGUCUGAAUCUGGUUUUUCAGUGGCUUGCCGUUCUUUAAGCAAUCUAUUGGAGGUACUGUCUCGGAGUACAAUUCUCCAAAUGUACGCCAGCAGAACGGAUCAUACAUGUGGUAGCGUUCUUGCAGAGGUUUUAGUUCUAUGGUGUUUAAGGUAACCUCUGUACACGG